This 18-nucleotide small nuclear RNA is filed under the name Arabidopsis thaliana (thale cress). RNAcentral's name for it is "snRNA_06726". The record is from RNAcentral. Lineage: Eukaryota; Viridiplantae; Streptophyta; Magnoliopsida; Brassicales; Brassicaceae.
UUCUCUUUUACUUUUUCU